Gallus gallus (chicken) is the source of this 1123-nucleotide long non-coding RNA. NCBI's taxonomy places the organism in Eukaryota, Metazoa, Chordata, Aves, Galliformes, Phasianidae. The record is from Ensembl.
GCACAGUCUUGUUUUCGUGCAGCUCAGCCUUCCCACAGGCUGCGGUUUCAGCAGCUGACAGCACCGGGCGCCCCGCAGCCAGGUGUGACCGCACGGGGUCGGUUCGGAGCGAAGGAGAAGAGAGGGGAGCUGAGAUCAAGAAUGAGGAGAACAGAACCCUGGGGAAGGUGCUGUGGUCCAGGUGGCUCCUGGCUGCACCCAGCCCAAUGUCCCGCAGCAUCUCCACAUGGCUCUCCUACAGAGGAAGGGGUGGGCAGAGCACAGGCAAUGCCGUUCCACGUUUUGCUCUCUUCCCUCCUUCACCCCUUCGUGCACCGCUCCAGCACAGCACAGCGUGGUCCAUUCAAAACCCACCCACAGAGGAACCAAUUCAGGCCUAAAAUCUACCAGAAAUCCCCCCAAAUCACCCUCUUCGUACUCACUUUUGCCCCUGGCUUUGCUGUGCCCGUUUAAGACAAGUGCUGGGUCCCAUCAGAGCUGCUCAGAACGAUGCUCCCCCUGCUGCCUUUCAACCAACGGCCCCAGCUCCCUCCGAGCAGCCUCACCAACCCCACCAUAAACUGCUCCAAAAAUGACAAAUUCCUCCCACGAAAACAGGAGGACGGAGAUUCCUCCGAGCUGCUCCAUCCUGAGCGCAGGCAGGGAAGGGAGAACACAGAGAGAGCAUCCAAUGGUGCAAAUCCCUCACCAUGUACAGAAGUUUGAUUUAUUUACUGGGGCCAGAGGUACUAAAAAGCUUGGACAGGAAUUUGCACUAAACCUUUGACACACAAGACAUUUCCCUUUCUGGCCAAGACAAACAAAGGAAGGAAGUGUCUGGGACAUUUAAAGCGACCUAGUGGAGACAGGUAAGGGCAGAUAAGGGCUGAAGGAAGAGCGGGUUGGGCAAGGGAAGCAUCUCGUUCUAAAGAUUUGUUGGAUUCCUUCAACUCUGCAGAUCAGGGCUGGGGGAGGCAGAACUGCUUGGGGGGAACUGUUUGCAAUGGGAGAAACACUGCUGCAGUGCUCAGCGCUGGGUUUCCCCUUGCCCAUCCUUUUUCUGCAUGCCCAGUGCCUAUCCUACAGCCCACAGGACUGCGAUGCCCGUGAGCUGACCACCAUCCAUCUCCUGACAAAUGAUGCU